RNAcentral lists this ribosomal RNA (497 nucleotides) under uncultured bacterium. RNAcentral's name for it is "partial 16S ribosomal RNA". It matches the Rfam family "Bacterial small subunit ribosomal RNA", at positions 28 to 507 of the family's 1533-position model. The record is from RNAcentral.
GAUGAACGCUGGCGGCGUGCCUAAUACAUGCAAGUCGAGCGACCGGACGAGAAGCUUGCUUCUCUGAUGUUAGCGGCGGACGGGUGAGUAACACGUGGAUAACCUACCUAUAAGACUGGGAUAACUUCGGGAAACCUGAGCUAAUACCGGAUAAUAUUUUGAACCGCAUGGUUCAACAGUGAAAGACGUUCUUGCUGUCACUUAUAGAUGUAUCCGCGCUGCAUUAGCUAGUUGGUAAGGUAACGGCUUACCAAGGCAACGAUGCAUAGCCGACCUGAGAGGGUGAUCGGCCACACUGGAACUGAGACACGGUCCAGACUCCUACGGGAGGCAGCAGUAGGGAAUCUUCCGCAAUGGGCGAAAGCCUGACGGAGCAACGCCGCGUGAGUGAUGAAGGUCUUCGGAUCGUAAAACUCUGUUAUUAGGGAAGAACAUAUGUGUAAGUAACUGUGCACAUCUUGACGGUACCUAAUCAGAAAGCCACGGCUAACUACGUG